This 979-nucleotide ribosomal RNA is filed under the name uncultured Mycobacterium sp. RNAcentral's name for it is "bacterial SSU rRNA". It matches the Rfam family "Bacterial small subunit ribosomal RNA", at positions 23 to 1015 of the family's 1533-position model. Lineage: Bacteria; Bacillati; Actinomycetota; Actinomycetes; Mycobacteriales; Mycobacteriaceae. The record is from RNAcentral.
CUCAGGACGAACGCUGGCGGCGUGCUUAACACAUGCAAGUCGAACGGAAAGGCCCCUUCGGGGGUACUCGAGUGGCGAACGGGUGAGUAACACGUGGGUAAUCUGCCCUGCACUUCGGGAUAAGCCUGGGAAACUGGGUCUAAUACCGGAUAUGACCACGAGGCGCAUGCCUUGUGGUGGAAAGCUUUUGCGGUGUGGGAUGGGCCCGCGGCCUAUCAGCUUGUUGGUGGGGUGACGGCCUACCAAGGCGACGACGGGUAGCCGGCCUGAGAGGGUGUCCGGCCACACUGGGACUGAGAUACGGCCCAGACUCCUACGGGAGGCAGCAGUGGGGAAUAUUGCACAAUGGGCGCAAGCCUGAUGCAGCGACGCCGCGUGGGGGAUGACGGCCUUCGGGUUGUAAACCUCUUUCAGCAGGGACGAAGCGCAAGUGACGGUACCUGCAGAAGAAGCACCGGCCAACUACGUGCCAGCAGCCGCGGUAAUACGUAGGGUGCGAGCGUUGUCCGGAAUUACUGGGCGUAAAGAGCUCGUAGGUGGUUUGUCGCGUUGUUCGUGAAAACCGGGGGCUUAACCCUCGGCGUGCGGGCGAUACGGGCAGACUGGAGUACUGCAGGGGAGACUGGAAUUCCUGGUGUAGCGGUGGAAUGCGCAGAUAUCAGGAGGAACACCGGUGGCGAAGGCGGGUCUCUGGGCAGUAACUGACGCUGAGGAGCGAAAGCGUGGGGAGCGAACAGGAUUAGAUACCCUGGUAGUCCACGCCGUAAACGGUGGGUACUAGGUGUGGGUUUCCUUCCUUGGAAUCCGUGCCGUAGCUAACGCAUUAAGUACCCCGCCUGGGGAGUACGGCCGCAAGGCUAAAACUCAAAGGAAUUGACGGGGGCCCGCACAAGCGGCGGAGCAUGUGGAUUAAUUCGAUGCAACGCGAAGAACCUUACCUGGGUUUGACAUGCACAGGACGCCGGCAAAUGUCGUCUGU